Molecule: transfer RNA, 75 nt
Filed under: Clostridiales bacterium
Lineage: Bacteria; Bacillati; Bacillota; Clostridia; Eubacteriales
Also listed under: 3 other names
Description: tRNA-Gln
Rfam family: tRNA
About the family: Transfer RNA (tRNA) molecules are approximately 80 nucleotides in length. Their secondary structure includes four short double-helical elements and three loops (D, anti-codon, and T loops).
Source: RNAcentral
AGGGGUAUCGCCAAGCGGUAAGGCACCAGACUUUGACUCUGGUAUUCGUAGGUUCAAAUCCUGCUACCCCUGCCA